Molecule: unclassified non-coding RNA, 1273 nt
Filed under: Bombus terrestris (buff-tailed bumblebee)
Lineage: Eukaryota; Metazoa; Arthropoda; Insecta; Hymenoptera; Apidae
Description: misc RNA ENSBTSG00005022655.1
Source: RNAcentral
CCAACCUAACCCCAACCUAACCCCAACCUAACCCCAACCUAACCCCAACCUUUUUUUUUUUUUUUUUUUUUUAUACGUGGGGAAAUCCUCAUGGACACCCGGGCGCCACCAGACGCGUCCGGGUAGUGUCGGACUCUUACCGACUAAAACCCCACGAUGACCAUCCUGGCGUCUUGUGGACUUAGGGUAGGUUCUCUUGCGAAUACGACCACCGCUUGUAGUCCGACGCCGCUGGUGUUGUCCUCCGAGAUGUUGUUCCGGAGCCAGAGGCAGGUCAUCCACCUCCGGCCACGUCGCCGUUGCCUACUUUCAGCCUCCGGGUCCCCCAGUUGGCGUCCGAGCUUCGUCCAUCUGCAGGUUUCAUCGGGGGGAGGGGGGAGAACUCGCCGUUCGGGGGCACCAAUCCCUACUAGGCGCUCUUGCCCCCACCCAGCCGGAAACUCUCGUCGGCGUACCACGAUGUCGCCCACAGGUGGAACGGUUGUCCCCCAAACCGACUUCCCCACCCGAACAUCCUCCUGGUGGCCCGUACUGCUUCCUCCUGGUUUGGGGUGCCCUCUAGUCUCUCCUGGUCCUUGGUGGAAUCCGAAAAAACCGGAUUUGGUCACCGCAAUCCAAAGCGCCAACGUCAUCACGGAGCGGUCACCCAUCCCAGACCGCCCCGCAACCUGGGGUGCUUAACUUUCGUGAUCUAACGGGAACGAGUGUUUCACCCCAGCCAACGGACGUUGACAACCUAACCCCAACCUAACCCCAACCUAACCCCAACCUAACCCCAACCUAACCCCAACCUAACCCCAACCUAACCCCAACCUAACCCCAACCUAACCCCAACCUUUUUUUUUUUUUUUUUUUCGUGGAGAAAUCCUCAUGGACUCCCAGCUGCGAGCAGCAUGGGAAGUGUCGGACUCUUACCGACUAAAACUCCACGGUGGUCUUCCAGACGGCUGUUCGAGGAGGGCUCAGGGUCUCUUGCGAAUACUACCAAGCGCUCCUCGCCGUCUAUCUCCCUGCUGGGCGGGAGACUUCCUUGUUAGACAGAAGAUCGGGGCCGCCAGGGGGGACCACGCCCCCUAGCGCCCCUUUCCUUGGGUCUUGUUACUUCCUUGAUGACUCCUUGGGCGCGAUUCACGGCGGCGGUACCGCCGGUCCGUGACGCGCGGAGACUCCUUGUUGCCGCGCCCUGCUGGUAUGCUGGGCUUUCUCUCUUUCUCUCUCCGCCCGCUCCUUCACGAGCAUAACUUGCUCGCAGAAGGUGCGGACGGCUCUGUAC